RNAcentral lists this non-coding RNA (289 nucleotides) under Mesotaenium endlicherianum. The record is from RNAcentral. Lineage: Eukaryota; Viridiplantae; Streptophyta; Zygnematophyceae; Zygnematales; Mesotaeniaceae.
AGCCCAGUUUCACUUUCGAUAGGUUGUGGACCGCUCACGGUUAGCACCCUCAACCCUAAACACUUGGGAUUUAUCCCUUGCCCGGUCUAGCACCCGGCGUAACGGGGGGGUCUUUUCACGAGAGCUUUCCUCCCAACGCAAAUAAAAAAAGCUCAGGCCCAUCGAAACUGUGCCUCGGCCGCAGGCGGGGAGAGGCGCAGCACGUGGCCUCGUGUCAAUUGCUACAGCAGUUUGCCUGCGAAGCCUCUCGAGUCCCCAGCGUACGCCAAGUCAGCCAGACUCUUUUUCG